AGAAAAAAAAAGUCACCAAGGGGGUCUGAAAACUCGCUAAAUAUAGCAACAAAGUCGCUAAGUUGGCAACACUGAUCAGAAUAGUAGCUAUAAACACACCUGUCAACUUUUUGUAAAAAUACUUUUUUUUAAAGCGAAUAAAACUGAAUUAUCAUUAGACAAUAACAGCUGGUUUCAACAACAGCAACAUGUAUUAUCUUUAGUUCUUCAUGUGGAAGAAAACAAAAAGAAAAAAGCUAAAAAUGAAAAAAAUACAUAUGCUUCUGAUUUCACUACAUGUUUAUGGGCAGUAGACAUAUUCUGAAGAAAAGCAAUAUCCAUAUAGCCUCCUGACUACCAGCAAUGCAAAUUUGUCCUCUGUAGAGCACCUUUCUAAACCUGAAUAUCUCCCAUGCACUGCAUACUACAGAAUUACCUCCUUUUGGUAUCUACAGAGGACAUUUAGGGCUUUCCAAUGAUACCAAAUGUGAAGGGGUGGAGCUUUGGGAACAUUAGUUUUUUCAUUAAGGAACAUGGCAGCCAUCGCUGCAAGCACAUUUUAUGAGAAGAAGAAAAGUAAGUGCAUAAAACUUCUUAUUGGGGAAUUUUUAGCUAUAAAUGUUAGCAUAUUUUAAAUAAGUCUCUUAAUAACACAUUAAAACAUAGUAUGCUUAAUUCUAACUUCAUUUUAGUAUAGUAUUGAAGUGUUUAAAAAAAAAAAAUGUCCUCCGUAGUGGACAUUUGUAGUCAUUUCUUCCAUUUUGUUCUGUUUUUUUAAAUGACCAGAAAAGGAGUCCUUUUUAGAAGCAGAAAGAAAUUUAUUGCAGUUUGAUGAGGGAAACUCAGAUCUUGAGUUGUCUGAUGAAGAAGAUCAUAGGGAAUAAGCCCUUGAAGAAGAAAGGAGGAGCAUCAGGGAUGGUACUCAGACCUGAACUUGCUGUCAUUAAGUGGUUGGACAGUUGUCAUGGCAUCCUCUGCCUAUGGCAAUCAACCUCAGGACAGACGCACAAGAUGGUUUAAGAAAAACAAAAGGUUUGUCCAUGUGCCAAGUCCACUGGCAAUUGCUGAGUACACUACCAAUAUAGGUGACGUGGACCAUAUUGAAUGUUGAGUUUCUACAGGAUGGUCUCUCACACUCAGAAAUUGACAGUAUGUGCAGUUUUCUACUUUUUUGAUCUGGCAAUCACCAACUUGUGGCUUCAGUAUAGCAGUGACUUGCAGUUUUGGGGGAAGAAACCACUACAGUUCCUUGAGUUCAAACUUCUCCUUGGUGAAGAGUUGAAGCAAAUGUUUGCCAUCAAAGUUCAUUUUUACACGUUCGGCCUUCCAAUGUCCUCUGCAGUGGACAUGUGAUAUCUAAAAAAUGUAAACUUUUUUUUUCCCAAAAAAUUAUUUCAGUCUUCUAAUUACUUUACAAACAUUGGGGGAUUUAAAAAUUUUUUUGAUUGGACAACAUUUUUUUUUCCUGGUAGUCAGG
Long non-coding RNA from Astatotilapia calliptera (eastern happy), 1456 nucleotides. NCBI's taxonomy places the organism in Eukaryota, Metazoa, Chordata, Actinopteri, Cichliformes, Cichlidae. The record is from Ensembl.